Molecule: ribosomal RNA, 248 nt
Filed under: uncultured bacterium
Lineage: Bacteria
Description: partial 16S ribosomal RNA
Rfam family: Bacterial small subunit ribosomal RNA
Source: RNAcentral
UGGGGAUAGUGGCGCACGGGUGCGUAACGCGUAACCAACCUGCCCGAAUCUGGGGGAUAGCCCGCCGAAAGGCGGAUUAAUACCGCAUAAAACCGCAGGGCGGCAUCGCCCAACGGUUAAAGAUUUAUUGGAUUCGGAUGGGGUUGCGUGCCAUUAGCUAGUUGGGGGGGGUAACGGCCCACCAAGGCGACGAUGGCUAGGGGAGCUGAGAGGCUGGUCCCCCACACGGGCACUGAGAUACGGGCCCG